RNAcentral lists this long non-coding RNA (226 nucleotides) under Lathyrus oleraceus (garden pea). RNAcentral describes it as "Pisum sativum (pea) long non-coding RNA (PSAT_LNC012542)". Lineage: Eukaryota; Viridiplantae; Streptophyta; Magnoliopsida; Fabales; Fabaceae. The record is from RNAcentral.
UGGAACUCGUUUAAUAGUUUAUACACAACCCUUAGGAUCCAACUCCUUUAGAUAUUGAAUUUUCAUCUCCUCGUCUCCUGGCAUUUGAGGAGAAUGUAAUUAUAUAUAUUAUAACGAAUUUUUUUCUUACUUUUUUUUAUUUUGCUUUGUUCAUGUAUUUGCUACUUUGAAUUUGAAACAUUCUUUCCUCUAAGGAGUUUUCGUUCUUCAUUCAUUUGCUUUUCUC